AGACAGCAGCCGAGACAGCAGCUGAGACGGCAGCGGCAGCUUCUCAGGGCCGGAGCCAGUUCUUGGAGGAGAGUCUGCACAGGGCAUGGAUCACUGUGGUGCCCUUUUCCUGUGCCUGUGCCUUCUGACUUUGCAGAAUGCAACAGCAGAGACAUGGGAAGAACUCCUGCGCUACAUGGAGAAUAUGCAGGUGUCCAGGGGCCGGAGCUCAGUUUUUUCCUCUCGUCAACUCCACCAGCUGGAGCAGAUGCUACUGAACACCAGCUUCCCAGGCUACAACCUGACCUUGCAGACACCCACCAUCCAGUCUCUGGCCUUCAAGCUGAGCUGUGACUUCUCUGGCCUCUCGCUGACCAGUGCCACUCUGAAGCGGGUGCCCCAGGCAGGAGGUCAGCAUGCCCGGGGUCAGCACGCCAUGCAGUUCCCCGCCGAGCUGACCCGGGAUGCCUGCAAGACCCACCCCAGGGAGCUGCGGCUCAUCUGUAUCUACUUCUCCAACACCCACUUUUUCAAGGAUGAAAACAACUCAUCUCUGCUGAAUAACUACGUCCUGGGGGCUCAGCUGAGUCAUGGGCACGUGAACAACCUCAGGGAUCCGGUGAACAUCAGCUUCUGGCACAACCAAAGCCUGGUACUGCUGGGGGCGCCCCCGUUUCCACUGCACCCCUGCCCCUCUGUGACUCUCCUGUUGAACACUGGUUUGACUAGACCCAAACAUGUGGAACCAUCUUGGAAAUCCAUCACACUUUGAAAAUUCCUGCUCAAGAAAUAAGAGAGAGAGAAGUUUUUACUCACGCAUUUGUCAGAAUUCUUUCAGUUGCAAGUAAGAAAAGACCACUUCAAGCCAGCUUGAGCACAGAGGGAACUGAUUGGCACACAUCAAUGAAAUGUCUAGAGGUGAUCCACCAGCUUCAGACAUGGCUGAAUCCAGGGAUGGAUCUGAUGCCCUCGUGGCUCAGUCUCUCUCCGUCUCAGCAAUGGUCUCCUGCCUUGGCUGUCCAUUCUGUGGCAUGAUGGAUGCUGGAGAGCCAGACUUCCUUUCCCUCUUCCCAUCAGGCUCUUCCCCCCACUCCCCACCCCCAACCUGCCCCAGUGCAGAUCAGGGUCUCAGGAUCUUAAAGGUUCAGCUGGGUCACAUGUCCAUCCCUGCACCUGUCACUGUGCCCAGGGGGAUGGAAUGUGUGGAUUGGCCAGGCCUGGGUCACACGGCCCAGGGACUGGGGUGAAGGAGUGAGCUCCUAGGGGAAGUGCAGAUGCUGAUCCUGGAACAGAGACAGGGCUGCUUGUUGGGGGUGGGGGCAGAGUGGGGUGGUUCACAAGCCUCAGUGCCUCCAUUUCUGGUUCCUGGCAUUCCUGAAAAGCCCGGAGCCUCUGCUUUCUGGCUUCAUCUUCCCUUCAGCUUCACCAGGACUGCCCUGCACUCUAAAUUUCACCAUCAUCCUUUCCUUUCAGCUCUGGGCUUUUGCCACUACGGUUCCCUCCACCUGGAAUGCCCUUGCCCUACUCGUGUUGAAAUCCAACACGUCCUCUAAAGGUUCAGGGCCCCCACCUCCCCUUCUCCCUUUGGGUCAGCUCUGCCUACCCUCCAUGGUUUUCCGUGACUACCUGUGUCAUUUCCUCCACUUCUCCACCCACGUGGCUUGGCGUUAGGGUUGUCUGUGGAUGAGUCUCCCCCAACCAGGCAUGGGUCUGAGCACGUUGCUGUUCCCCAUAGGGAGGAAGGGAAGGGAUCAGCUGGUUAUGGAGCGCCUACCGUAUAAAAGGCCAGAGCUGGACACUCAAGAUUCCGUGUUGCCCUUCGUUUUUCCACCAUUGUUGUAACAUGGGUACGAAUGAUCCUAUUCUGUAGAUGACUAAACUGAGGCUCAGAGCAACUUGGCGUCUUGCCUGGGUCACUCUGAGAGCCCACAGUGGAGGUGGGACAGGAAUCUGAGACUGUCUGAGGCCAAAGGCCAGCCAGUGCCUGGUAAAAUGUUGGCAAAUGUGCAGUUGAGUCACUGUUGGCCCCCAGGACUCCCAGACACUGAUCCGCAGCCUUUCCUCUGCACCCUAUGACUGACCCCAGCAUCUCCACCCAGGAAGGCUACACCCUGACCUGUGUCUUCUGGAAGGAGGGAGCCAGGAAACAGCCCUGGGGGGGCUGGAGCCCUGAGGGCUGUCGUACAGAGCAACCCUCCCGCUCUCAGGUGCUCUGCCGCUGCAACCACCUCACCUACUUUGCUGUUCUCAUGCAACUCUCCCCAGCCCUGGUCCCUGCAGAGUUGCUGGCACCUCUAACGUACAUCUCCCUCGUGGGCUGCAGCAUCUCCAUCGUGGCCUCGCUGAUCACAGUCCUGCUGCACUUCCAUUUCAGGAAGCAGAGUGACUCCUUAACACGCAUCCACAUGAACCUGCAUGCCUCCGUGCUGCUCCUGAACAUCGCCUUCCUGCUGAGCCCCGCAUUCGCAAUGUCUCCUGUGCCCGGGUCAGUAUGCACAGCUCUGGCCGCUGCCCUGCACUACGCGCUGCUCAGCUGCCUCACCUGGAUGGCCAUCGAGGGCUUCAACCUCUACCUCCUCCUCGGGCGUGUCUACAACAUCUACAUCCGCAGAUAUGUGUUCAAGCUUGGUGUGCUAGGCUGGGGGGCCCCAGCCCUCCUGGUGCUGCUUUCCCUCUCUGUCAAGAGCUCGGUAUACGGACCCUGCACGAUCCCCGUCUUCGACAGCUGGGAGAAUGGCACAGCCUUCCAGAACAUGUCCAUAUGCUGGGUGCGGAGCCCCGUGGUGCACAGUGUCCUGGUCAUGGGCUAUGGCGGCCUCACGUCCCUCUUCAACCUGGUGGUGCUGGCCUGGGCGCUGUGGACCCUGCGCAGGCUGCGGGAGCGGGCGGAUGCACCGAGUGCCAGGGCCUGCCAUGACACUGUCACUGUGCUGGGCCUCACCGUGCUGCUGGGAACCACCUGGGCCUUGGCCUUCUUUUCUUUUGGCGUCUUCCUGCUGCCCCAGCUGUUCCUCUUCACCAUCUUAAACUCGCUCUACGGUUUCUUCCUUUUCCUGUGGUUCUGCUCCCAGCGGUGCCGCUCAGAAGCAGAGGCCAAGGCACAGAUAGAGGCCUUCAGCUCCUCCCAAACAACACAGUAGUCCGGGCCUCCUGGCCUGGAACCCUCAGCCUCUCUGGCUGCCAGUAGUCUGAGGCUACGGCUCCCGCUAGAGAGGGUCGCAGGCCUGCUGCUGGACCCCAGAGGCCACUGUGACCGCCAAGGGGCCUUUCCCACUUCCACGGCCUCUCCAGGCACUGAGGGGAAGGCAUUGCUCUACCUCUCCCUGACAUUUUGCUCCGGGGCAGAUCCAACCUUACCUGGGGCAGCAAACUUUGUCCUGGUACCUGGGCCCAGCUCGCCAGGGAUGUGGGCAGAGCACCAGCCUGGGCAUCAGGAGGCCAAGUUUCAAGGACUGUCUCUGAGUCUGUCUGUAUGACCUUGGGCCUGCCACUUCUCACAGACCCUAGGUAUCCACAGCUGUGACAUGGGGGCAAGCGGCUUUGUUUCAGCCUAACCCAAGAGCUUAGUAAAAAUUGCAUAAGACCAGGGGGAAGAGUGUCAGCGUGGGGUGGGAAUUCCCGCGGCCUCCACCUGCUUGCUAGGGGCAGGAUCUCAUCCAGGCUGCCCUGGAAGCACCUGCUUGGCCCUGCCACCUUCCUCCAGUGGAGGGCCAGAUGGCAUCCUGGCUUGGGGCGGGUGGGACCUACCCAGGCUCUGAGACUUUACUGGCCUAUGCCUGAGGCCUCUUUUCCUUUAACUCCCUAAAUUAUGAUGACUCCAAGUCCAAGCCCAUCCUUCCCAAAGAUUGGGAGGUUCCGCCGUUCCCAGAGGCUCCUCCUGCGGUGCUCCCAAGACUUCCAUAGACCAUCUGGACCAGUAGCCCAUCCCACAGUUUUCUUGGGGGCAGAGGAAAACGCUUCUUUCUCCUCCAGCUGAAUCAGCUGGAUCCCAGUGUCCUGGCUGUUUGGUGAUUGGGCAAGAUUGAAUUUGCCCAGGUAGGCAUGAGAGUGUGGGUUUUAAAUUCGAAGCUCAGGCCGUAGUUGCAGAGAAUCACCCUUACCCCAGACCUUCAUGAGACAGUGCUCAUGAAGCCAGUGCGUUUCCCAGAACGAACACUAGGCGGCACUGUUGGUCCACACUCAGAGGCCCUUGGCGCCAAGACUGCAUCUAGAAUCGCUCAAACACCUGUUUGCAGACCCCAUGCACCAGCUGGAGGGGCCGUAACUGCAGGACUGCGCCUACUGAGUGACCCAUUUCCUCCAGGAGGAAAGGCAAGACACGCUUACACGGCCAUUUGUCUCUUUUCCCAAUGCGGCGGUGCACUUUCGCUCUUGGGGGCUGCACCCCAGACAUAGCUGGCACCAGAGCAGGGUGCUCAGGUGGUAGGUGCUCAGGGCCCUGCCCCAGGCCACUGGGCCGUUUUGAUGACCUCGAAGGUCACAGGCAGAAAAUAGGAGCAGGAUUUCCCCUGGGGAAAAGUUCUCCUGGGACAUCUUCUGCUCUUCUGUACAUUUCUAGAUGCAAAUAACUCCUUCACCAGGCAGUGAGUGGCGUAGGCUCUGGAGCCGGGCUGCCUGGGCUCCAAUGCCAGCUCUGCCACUUGCUAGCUGUGAGACUGUGGACAAACCACUCAGCCUCUGUGUGCCUCAGUUUUCCUAUUUGUAAAAUAGAGGCCAUAGUGGUACCUAUUUUGAAGACUAAGUAAAAGAAUUCAAAUAAAGAGACUUGGCACAGAGUAAGUGCUCAGU
RNAcentral lists this small RNA (4767 nucleotides) under Pan troglodytes (chimpanzee). Its description in RNAcentral is "retained intron". Lineage: Eukaryota; Metazoa; Chordata; Mammalia; Primates; Hominidae. The record is from RNAcentral.